This 58-nucleotide transfer RNA is filed under the name Elephantulus fuscus (Dusky elephant shrew). RNAcentral's name for it is "tRNA-Ser". The record is from RNAcentral. Lineage: Eukaryota; Metazoa; Chordata; Mammalia; Macroscelidea; Macroscelididae.
AAGAAAGAAAAAAGAACUGCUAAUUCUUUACACCACGUCUAACCUCGUGGCUUUCUUG